Molecule: ribosomal RNA, 253 nt
Filed under: uncultured bacterium
Lineage: Bacteria
Description: partial 16S ribosomal RNA
Rfam family: Bacterial small subunit ribosomal RNA
Source: RNAcentral
UACAGGGGGGGCAAGCGUUGUUCGGAUUCACUGGGCGUAAAGGGUGCGUAGGUGGUCGAGUAAGUCUGAUGUGAAAUCUUCGAGCUCAACCCGAAAAUGGCAUUGGAUACUAUUCGGCUGGAGGGUUGGAAGGGGGACUGGAAUUCUCGGUGUAGCAGUGAAAUGCGUAGAUAUCGAGAGGAACACCGGUGGCGAAGGCGAGUCCCUGGACAAUCCCUGACACUGAGGCACGAAAGCUAGGGGAGCAAACAGG